GUAGCGUGAAGGAUGACUGCCUAUGGGUUGUAAACUUCUUUUAUACGGGAAUAAGUGAGCCACGUGUGGCUUUUUGUAUGUACCGUAUGAAUAAGGAUCGGCUAACUCCGUGCCAGCAGCCGCGGUAAUACGGAGGAUCCGAGCGUUAUCCGGAUUUAUUGGGUUUAAAGGGAGCGUAGGCGGGUUGUUAAGUCAGUUGUGAAAGUUUGCGGCUCAACCGUAAAAUUGCAGUUGAUACUGGCGACCUUGAGUGCAACAGAGGUAGGCGGAAUUCGUGGUGUAGCGGUGAAAUGCUUAGAUAUCACGAAGAACUCCGAUUGCGAAGGCAGCUUACUGGAUUGU
RNAcentral lists this ribosomal RNA (342 nucleotides) under uncultured bacterium. RNAcentral describes it as "bacterial SSU rRNA". It matches the Rfam family "Bacterial small subunit ribosomal RNA", at positions 396 to 737 of the family's 1533-position model. The record is from RNAcentral.